GCAUAUCAAUAAGCGGAGGAAAAGAAACCAACAGGGAUUGCCCCAGUAACGGCGAGUGAAGCGGCAAAAGCUCAAAUUUGAAAUCCUGCGGGAAUUGUAAUUUGAAGGUUUCGUGGUCUGAGUCGGCCGCGCCCAAGUCCAUUGGAACAUGGCGCCUGGGAGGGUGAGAGCCCCGUAUGGCGCACGCCGACUCUUUGUACACCGCGGCUCCGACGAGUCGAGUUGUUUGGGAAUGCAGCUCUAAGUGGGUGGUAAAUUCCAUCUAAAGCUAAAUAUUGGCGAGAGACCGAUAGCGAACAAGUACAGUGAUGGAAAGAUGAAAAGCACUUUGAAAAGAGAGUGAAACAGCACGUGAAAUUGUUGAAAGGGAAGGGCUUGCAAGCAGACACGGUUUUACCGGGCCAGCGUCGAAAAGGGGGGAGGAACAAGAACUCGAGAAUGUGGCGCGCACCUUCGGGCGCGCGUGUUAUAGCUCGUGUUGACGCCUCCAUCCCUUUCAGAGGCCUGCGAUUCUAGGACGCUGGCGUAAUGGUUGCAAGCCGCCCGUCUUGAAACACGGACC
RNAcentral lists this ribosomal RNA (562 nucleotides) under Clavispora lusitaniae. Its description in RNAcentral is "partial large subunit ribosomal RNA". It matches the Rfam family "Eukaryotic large subunit ribosomal RNA", at positions 38 to 667 of the family's 3401-position model. Lineage: Eukaryota; Fungi; Ascomycota; Pichiomycetes; Serinales; Metschnikowiaceae. The record is from RNAcentral.